GAUGAACGCUGGCGGCGUGCCUAAUACAUGCAAGUAGAACGCUGAAGGAGGAGCUUGCUCUUCUGGAUGAGUUGCGAAAGGGUGAGUAACGCGUAGGUAACCUGCCUGGUAGCGGGGGAUAACUAUUGGAAACGAUAGCUAAUACCGCAUGACAACAGUUAUUGCAUGAUAACUGUUUAAAAGGGGCAACUGCUCCACUACCAGAUGGACCUGCGUUGUAUUAGCUAGUUGGUGAGGUAACGGCUCACCAAGGCGACGAUACAUAGCCGACCUGAGAGGGUGAUCGGCCACACUGGGACUGAGACACGGCCCAGACUCCUACGGGAGGCAGCAGUAGGGAAUCUUCGGCGAUGGACGGAAGUCUGACCGAGCAACGCCGCGUGAGUGAAGAAGGUUUUCGGAUCGUAAAGCUCUGUUGUAAGAGAAGAACGAGUGUGAGAGUGGAAAGUUCACACUGUGACGGUAUCUUACCAGAAAGGGACGGCUAACUACGUG
This 495-nucleotide ribosomal RNA is filed under the name uncultured bacterium. RNAcentral's name for it is "partial 16S ribosomal RNA". It matches the Rfam family "Bacterial small subunit ribosomal RNA", at positions 28 to 507 of the family's 1533-position model. The record is from RNAcentral.